GAGCGAUGAGGUCUCCUUCGGGGGACACAUCAGCGGCAGACGGGUGAGUAACACGUAAGUAACCUACCCCAGAGACAGGGAUAACCCUAGGAAACGAGGGCUAAUACCGGAUGACCUCCGGAAGGAGGAAAGGCUGAGGCGCUCUGGGAGGGGCUUGCGGCCCAUCAGCUAGUUGUGUAGGGUAACGGCCUACCAAGGCGAAGACGGGUAGGGGGUGUGAGAGCACGGGCCCCCACAAUGGUACUGAAACACGGCCCAUACUCCUACGGGAGGCAGCAGCAGGGAAUAUUGCACAAUAGGCGGAAGCCUGAUGCAGCGACGCCGCGUGAGUGAAGAAGGCCUUCGGGUCGUACAGCUCUUUUGUAGGGGAAGAGGCAAUGACGGUACCCUAAGAAAAAGCGUCGGUUAACUACGUGCCAGCAGCCGCGGUAAGACGUAGGACGCGAGCGUUAUCCGGAAUUACUGGGCGUAUAGGCCAGCAGGCGGCUUGGUAAGUUGUGCGUGAAAGCCUCGUGCUCAACGCGAGGAAGCCGGACAAUACUGUCAAGCUAGAGGGCAUCAGAGGGGAGUGAAAUUCCCGGGAGUAGCGGUAAAAUGCGCAGAUAUCGGGAGGACACCGAUGGUGAGGGCAGUUCCCUGGGAUGCACCUGACGCUAAGAGGCGAAAGCUAGGGGAGCGAACAGGAUUAGAGACCCUGGUAGUCCU
This 705-nucleotide ribosomal RNA is filed under the name uncultured organism. Its description in RNAcentral is "bacterial SSU rRNA". It matches the Rfam family "Bacterial small subunit ribosomal RNA", at positions 64 to 797 of the family's 1533-position model. The record is from RNAcentral.